Pollicipes pollicipes is the source of this 887-nucleotide long non-coding RNA. RefSeq lists it as uncharacterized. The record is from RefSeq and is a predicted model, not a curated record. Lineage: Eukaryota; Metazoa; Arthropoda; Thecostraca; Pollicipedomorpha; Pollicipedidae. The transcript is spliced from 2 exons.
ACCGGCAAGCGCGGUGCCCGAGCCGGCAGCCGUGGACGCAGCGCCGUACGACACAGCGUACCCGCCGUCACCGCCGCCGCCCGCCUUCGACCCCGACCUCUGGCGGGUCGACUACCAGAAGCUGGUCAACACCUUGUACCAGAACGACGAGGAGGCCAGCGGCUACAUGACCCCGGACGAGGCGGGCAGGAUCACAGAGAGCUACAACGUCAUCUACAACCUGGGCAUCCCCACCGACUUCAUCAACCAGGCACUGUCGCAGGCCACGGAGCCCAACUACGGCAUGAUUCAGCUCAACAUCUACACCGACGUCCUGAUGAGGCUGUGUCUGAAUGUGUCGUAAUCGCCUCCGAUGGGACUGUGGCGCCAGCGAUCCCUCGAUCCAUCGCAGCUGAGAUCGCGUGCAUCGCCGAAGGGCGGAAGCCGCUCGGGCAUUGUGUUUUCUGUUGAACACAGGGUUAUCAAUGUGCAGGCCCACAUUGUUUAAGUUGCCGAUAGCAGAACAGCUUUACAUCAGCGUUCCCUGACACACGACACCCAUCAUUUACACCGCCAGCCAACAAGCCGGCUGAGCCAUGGUCGGGACAUGUAUCACCUUACUAAAGUAUUGUGGUGUGCGUACUCUACCAGGUACAUUCUGUCAAUUCGAGUCGGGGAAGCGUGACUAUGUUAUGGGUACUUGUGUGAUCACUGCCGCAACAGCCGGUGUGUUAUAAUUCUGGCUUCUGUACACGCGGUGCGUGAAUAUAACUGUGUCUCGCUAGACUGAAAUGAAUCGUUGACCCACUUGUGGUUCAUGGCUUUUCAACAAUUCGUCAACAAUUUGUCAACAAUUCGAGUGCAUUCUUUUUGCAGCGCUUGCAUUCAAAUAAAGCAUGUAUUUUUGA